GUUUUUUUAAGAUACCUCCACAGCUAAUUCUUCUCACACCAGUAAUAUAAAACACAUUAAUUCUUUUUUCCCUUUGUAAAAGGAAAUAUGUGAAUGUCACAUGCUCUCAAGAGCCCAAAUUGAGUUCCUCUGGCUGAUUUUGUGCUUUCUUCAAAUUGUAUUUUUCUAAACAAUGGAGGGUGGGAAAUUGAACAAGCUGGUUUGGAUUUUAUGAAGAAAAUCCAAAAGCCCAGAUUCUCAGCACACAGAUGAGAAUGAAAUGCUUAUGUAACAUUUCUAAAAGUAAUACCAGAAACCCGCAUUUCUUUCUAGAAACUGAGUGAUCUGGGAGCCGAUACAAAUUUUAUAAGAGUAAUAUGUUAAGGUAGAUUCAUGUUUAUGUGUUGUCAUUGAAAAGCUUUAUAAAGAUCAGGUUGGAAAAAGCUAGUUUUUGGUAAAACAAGGUGAAAUUCUAACAGCUGACCAGAAAAUAAGCACAAUUUAAUUUCUGUGUCCUGAUUUGGUUACUUGCUUACAUUGCAACUUUCUCAGUAUUCCUUACAAUAGUUAAGAACUAUACAGUCUGGAAUGUACUUAUCAUCAUCAUAAAAAGUAAGAAAGUCUCUCUGUCUCCAUUUUAUAGGUAAGGGAGGGGACUAGAAGCCCUGCAAGGAACCUGAGUUUCCCUGAGAGUCCCACUCCCUGGCCUAAGUCUGCCUAAAUCCAGACCUAAUGGCUAGCCAUGUCUGUUACUGUGAGAAAACAAACUCAUUCUGAAAAUACAGGCUCAUCAAUAUACAAUCUGCGCUGGUUUAAUACGUGACAAGGAGGCAAGCCAGCAGUGGAGAACAGCAAUGGAUAUGAUGCAUUUAAGCAAGCAAGAGAAAUUAAGGACGAAAAGGCGGAAGAGUUUCUGAAAAAUCAGGUCUGAUUUCCCCGCAAUGGUCUCCAACCAGAAAACGUCACCAUGUUUACUCUCUAGCAUAUAAGAAGAACACCCACUAUCUCAAGGAUCCCCAUUGCCACAGUGGUAAUUCAGUUGCAGCAUUUACCCUCUGGUAUGAAAGUCCAGCUAUGUUUGAAAUAAAUGCUCUCAGCUGUAUGCCCAUAUUGUUAAUUCACACUGAAAUAGACAUCUUUACACACUAGUAUUACCAAAAAUUAAUA
This 1146-nucleotide long non-coding RNA is filed under the name Struthio camelus australis. RNAcentral describes it as "lncRNA (ENSSCUG00000000912.1)". Lineage: Eukaryota; Metazoa; Chordata; Aves; Struthioniformes; Struthionidae. The record is from RNAcentral.